RNAcentral lists this long non-coding RNA (346 nucleotides) under Amborella trichopoda. Its description in RNAcentral is "long non-coding RNA (ATRI_LNC005253)". Lineage: Eukaryota; Viridiplantae; Streptophyta; Magnoliopsida; Amborellales; Amborellaceae. The record is from RNAcentral.
CGAGUGUUAGUGUUUUGUUGUGUUCCCAAUCCAAAAUCCCCGAAGCUUGUCCAUCCUUCAUGCUCACCUGCACUGUCGUGCUCAUCCCUACACUGUUGCUGUUGGGACUCGAUAUGUGAAUAAUAUGGCUGGGAUAGGGUGGCCUCAGAAUCAUCAUCUCUCUCAUUUUCUCUUAGACCCCCUUCCCACUCUCCCUCAUUAGGUGCAAUAUCACCGACAUCUCCGACGAAUUGUGGAUACGUUGGCUGGCUGCUUCCUCUUUCAUGCUGCUCAUCACUUUCUUCAAGAUCUUCAUCACCGAUAGCCUCAAGGAACGCUCUCUUGUGCAACACUGGCUCCUCCUCUU